RNAcentral lists this transfer RNA (74 nucleotides) under Marmota monax (woodchuck). RNAcentral's name for it is "tRNA.Thr". The record is from RNAcentral. Lineage: Eukaryota; Metazoa; Chordata; Mammalia; Rodentia; Sciuridae.
GCUGAGGAUGUAGCUCAGUGGUAGAAUGCUUGCUUAGUAUGUGUGAGGCCCUGGGUUCAAUCCCCAACACAGCA